AGUGAAGAGGGAAGAGCCCAAGAUUGAAAGCUGGCGCCUUCGGCGUCCGCAUUGUAAUCUCAAGAAGUGUUUUCCGCUUCGGACCAUGCCUAAGUCCCUUGGAAAAGGGCAUCAUAGAGGGUGAUAAUCCCGUACAUGGCAUGGAGCGCCCGAAGCUUUGUGAUACGCUUUCUAAGAGUCGAGUUGUUUGGGAAUGCAGCUCAAAAUGGGUGGUAAAUGCCAUCUAAGGCUAAAUAUUGGGGAGAGACCGAUAGCGAACAAGUACAGUGAUGGAAAGAUGAAAAGAACUUUGAAAAGAGAGUUAAACAGUACGUGAAAUUGCCAAAAGGGAAGGGUAGGAGGUCAGAGAUGCGUCGCAGGAUUCAGCCUUGCUUUUGCUUGGUGUUUUUCCUGCGUUGCAGGCCAACGUCGGUUUUGGGCACUGGAGAAGGGUAGGAGGAACGUGGCACCUCUCGGGGUGUGUUAUAGCCUCCUACUGGAUACAGCGACCGAGACCGAGGAACGCAGCGUACUCGUAAGAGCGGGCCUUUUGGCACCUUUACGCUUAGGGCGUUGGCAUAAUGGCCCUCUACCACCCGUCUUGAA
RNAcentral lists this ribosomal RNA (585 nucleotides) under Pseudozyma hubeiensis. RNAcentral describes it as "partial large subunit ribosomal RNA". It matches the Rfam family "Eukaryotic large subunit ribosomal RNA", at positions 92 to 658 of the family's 3401-position model. Lineage: Eukaryota; Fungi; Basidiomycota; Ustilaginomycetes; Ustilaginales; Ustilaginaceae. The record is from RNAcentral.